Molecule: long non-coding RNA, 2157 nt
Organism: Megalopta genalis
Lineage: Eukaryota; Metazoa; Arthropoda; Insecta; Hymenoptera; Halictidae
Source: RefSeq, a predicted model, not a curated record
UUAACGCCACAGUCGCGAAUUAGGUUUCGUAAACACCAGUCGCACAGAUUAGGUUUCUCUAACGCCAGUCGCGGCCUAGGUUUCGUUAACGACGGAGUCGCGAAUAAGUUCUACUUGUACGAAUCUUAUGAAUAAAGUAAUUUGUCUAGGGAACGCGCCGGGAAAGUUGGUUGUUCGUUUGUUAAUAUUAUCGUUAGUAGUCUGCGAAUUGUCUGCCUUAAUUGCAUAAGCGAAUUAGUGAAUUUAAAUAGUGGGAUUAACCUCUUUGCCGCGACAGAUCUAGAUGCGUACCACGUGCGGCGCACCUAAUCACAUUCAUCCGAGGGAACGGUGGCCCUGUGCGAAGCCGCGCUGCACAACGAUGCGAUCUUCUUUCAACUUUCUUCAGCAUUCGUACCUACCUUCCCUUGCACCUCGCUGUUCUCGGCCUCCCCCAGCUCCUCAGAGUUUAGACCUUCUUUCAUUGGUACCGUCCUUCUUAUUUCCAUUCCUACGUCGUUCGAUCGACUUUCUUCUGCGCAUCCCCGAAUAUCUGCGUUCUUUCGUACCUUUCCGAGCUCUCGAUUUUUUCAACGAAGAAAGGAGAUACGGGAAGAUCGAACGGCGCUUUUUUCUGGCAACCAUUAAUCACAGCCGUAAGUGUGCGCAUACCGGGACAGAAGGGGAGAGAAAUAGAGGGGAAGAGAACGGCUACGUUCCAUCAUUAGCUUAUCGAGCGCCGCGCCAUCGUGACGGGGUUAGGUAACGAGAUCGUUGGAUCGCGAUGAUUUACACAAGGUGUUGCAUGUACGUGUACCACAUUUCACGGGGAUCUGCCCCGCAGCCAGGAACGAAAGAUUUCUUCGAAUACGAGCGCCGGGCUACAUAUUCAGGCGCGUCCUGGCAGACGCUGCGCAACGAUGGAAAAAUGCACGAGUAUGAAACUCUCAGACGUUGGGACGCUCACAAAAAUAGAUCAGAAAUUUCACCCGAAAUAGCCCUUUGUUUACGAUUAUAAUUUCAAAUCAAUUUCGGCGUGUCGCACGCGAGUAUCACAUUUCAGUUGUCAAGGAAUCGUUUUCGAGAUCAUGAUGCAAUUUCAUCCCGAAGGUACGAAUGUUAAACCAGGAGUUGACACUUUGACUGUCGUUUAGAUUGUACAACGGUGACAUAAUAUCUUUUUUAUCGAAUCUGAAGAACAAUUUUUAUUCAACGGACAAUUCAGUUUACCAUUGACUAUUUGGCACGUAUGCUAGUUGACCCUUUUAAUUUUCCAAUUUUCGUGUCGUUCAAUGAAUUACUUCGACUCCGUAGAAUUUUCAGAUGUUGAUACAUUGACAGUCAGAACAUUGUAACAAUAUUUAAAUUCAUCUUGCGUCUCUGAAACACUAAAAACGUGAAGGAUAAACGUGAACGAACGAGAAAAUGGGUAUAGAAUCCCCAUUAAUCUAGUCAAUCCCCGUUAAUCUAGUCAAAUUUCUGUGGUAAAAGAAGUCUUUCAAUAUUUAAUUAAUAAGUAGUUAAUAAUUGAUUUAAUAAUUAAUUAAUGAUAUGUUGUACGAUAAUAAUAUGUUUAUUUUCCUUGUGGCAUCGGGAUCAAAACGCACGAUAUUCGGAAGCUGGUUCGCAUCCGCUUCAAAAACCCGAGUAUUUCCAUAAAUAUUUUAAUUAGUUUCCUAGGAGAACCGAAGAAUAUUAAACUAAAGACUCCAUUCGAACAGUUCGGGCAGCCUUUGAAAAUUCUGGCAGAGUCCCCGAUUCCCCAACGGCGCAGGAAACAUAAGAACACCGGAAGUCGUUCGAUGUCUAUGUACCUUCAGCGAGUGCAGACAGACUCCUUAAGUAUCUAGAAAAAGUUCUGGGUUAGAGGUCUUAAUGCCCUCGAACAAAGUGCAGGUCGGCGAACUUGUGUACGAGGUGUUUGCGCCAUUCGGCGGCAGACCUGCCAGCAACUCCUCCUUAACAAGAACUUUCUAAAUACCCUCGAAACCGUGCGCCACCGCGAUGCAAUUUUUGCGGAACCCUGCUGUCCGCGAAGCGUGCUUCUCGGGUGUAAAGCUUGACAGCUUUUGCAGCGAACAUGCAGUCGUCUUCUUCCGAUUCUUUGGAUUCCCCGUUCCGUGUCGGAUUCGUGUAUGGUACACUUCGGGACAAAAGUAUCGCCCACUCCUGAGAAUU